This 253-nucleotide ribosomal RNA is filed under the name uncultured bacterium. RNAcentral's name for it is "partial 16S ribosomal RNA". It matches the Rfam family "Bacterial small subunit ribosomal RNA", at positions 524 to 776 of the family's 1533-position model. The record is from RNAcentral.
UACGUAGGGCGCAAGCGUUAUCCGGAAUUAUUGGGCGUAAAGAGCUCGUAGGCGGUUUGUCGCGUCUGCCGUGAAAGUCCGGGGCUCAACUCCGGAUCUGCGGUGGGUACGGGCAGACUAGAGUGAUGUAGGGGAGACUGGAAUUCCUGGUGUAGCGGUGAAAUGCGCAGAUAUCAGGAGGAACACCGAUGGCGAAGGCAGGUCUCUGGGCAUUAACUGACGCUGAUGGACGAAAGCGUGGGGAGCGAACAGG